RNAcentral lists this ribosomal RNA (468 nucleotides) under uncultured bacterium. Its description in RNAcentral is "partial 16S ribosomal RNA". It matches the Rfam family "Bacterial small subunit ribosomal RNA", at positions 28 to 507 of the family's 1533-position model. The record is from RNAcentral.
GACGAACGCUGGCGGCGUGCUUAACACAUGCAAGUCGAACGGAAAGGCCCUGCGUUUGUGGGGUGCUCGAGUGGCGAACGGGUGAGUAACACGUGAGUAACCUGCCCUUGACUGUGGGAUAACUUCAGGAAACUGGGGCUAAUACCGGAUAGGAGCUCCUGCUGCAUGGUGGGGGUUGGAAAGUUUCGGCGGUUGGGGAUGGACUCGCGGCUUAUCAGCUUGUUGGUGGGGUAGUGGCUUACCAAGGCUUUGACGGGUAGCCGGCCUGAGAGGGUGACCGGCCACAUUGGGACUGAGAUACGGCCCAGACUCCUACGGGAGGCAGCAGUGGGGAAUAUUGCACAAUGGGCGGAAGCCUGAUGCAGCAACGCCGCGUGCGGGAUGACGGCCUUCGGGUUGUAAACCGCUUUCGCCUGUGACGAAGCGUGAGUGACGGUAAUGGGUAAAGAAGCACCGGCUAACUACGUG